UAUCAGACUAGAGGAGGUUUCUAUCAGACUAGAGGAGGUUUCUAUCAGACUAGAGGAGGUUUCUAUCAGACUAGAGGAGGUUUCUAUCAGACUAGAGGUACAUGGAGGUUUCUAUCAGACUAGAGGAGGUUUCUAUCAGACUAGAGGAGGUUUCUAUCAGACUAGAGGAGGUUUCUAUCAGACUAGAGGUACAUGGAGGUGUGGAAUAAGAAUAUAUAAACAUAUAAACAGCUCCAACUCUACCUGUGGUCCAAACAGGGUUUAAACACAG
Long non-coding RNA from Oncorhynchus tshawytscha (Chinook salmon), 271 nucleotides. The record is from Ensembl. NCBI's taxonomy places the organism in Eukaryota, Metazoa, Chordata, Actinopteri, Salmoniformes, Salmonidae.